AUACGUAGGGUGCAAGCGUUAAUCGGAAUUACUGGGCGUAAAGCGUGCGCAGGCGGUUUUGUAAGACAGAGGUGAAAUCCCCGGGCUCAACCUGGGAACUGCCUUUGUGACUGGAAGGCCAGAGUACGGCAGAGGGGGACGGAAUUCCGCGUGUAGCAGGGAAAUGCGUAGAUAUGCGGAGGAACACCGAUGGCGAAGGCAAUCCCCUGGGCCUGUACUGACGCUCAUGCACGAAAGCGUGGGGAGCAAACAGGAUUAGAUACCCUGGUAGUCCACGCCCUAAACGAUGUCAACUGGUUGUUGGGUCUUCAUUGACUCAGUAACGAAGCUAACGCGUGAAGUUGACCGCCUGGGGAGUACGGCCGCAAGGUUGAAACUCAAAUGAAUUGACGGGG
RNAcentral lists this ribosomal RNA (395 nucleotides) under uncultured bacterium. RNAcentral's name for it is "partial 16S ribosomal RNA". It matches the Rfam family "Bacterial small subunit ribosomal RNA", at positions 523 to 918 of the family's 1533-position model. The record is from RNAcentral.